UAUUUUACAGCACAGUAUAGAGUUGAGUUUUCUUUAAACUCUCUCAAUGGCACACAAAAGGAAGAUCAGAAGCUGCAUCCUAAUGUAAACAUAUCUGCUGGCGAUGCCGUCUGGACAAGACGCUCUCUCGUGCGGCAGAAGAGAUUUCACCAACGGCUCAUCCUCCUAUGAGCUGAGUGACCGUCGAGACCCGACCUGCCACACGCACUGGAGCGCUGACGAUAUAGUUGUGGUUGAUGAGACAGGAGGGGUGGACAAGACCAGAGUUCAACAUGCAGGAUCCCAGACCCUCAUUCUGAGAGGAAAACACACUCUUGUUAUUUUCCAGAUGGACUGUGCUUCA
Long non-coding RNA from Sinocyclocheilus anshuiensis, 343 nucleotides. RefSeq lists it as uncharacterized. The transcript is spliced from 3 exons. The record is from RefSeq and is a predicted model, not a curated record. NCBI's taxonomy places the organism in Eukaryota, Metazoa, Chordata, Actinopteri, Cypriniformes, Cyprinidae.